AGUGAACGCUGGCGGUAGGCCUAACACAUGCAAGUCGAACGGCAGCACAGUAAGAGCUUGCUCUUACGGGUGGCGAGUGGCGGACGGGUGAGGAAUACAUCGGAAUCUACUUUUUCGUGGGGGAUAACGUAGGGAGACUUACGCUAAUACCGCAUACGACCUAAGGGUGAAAGCAGGGGAUCUUCGGACCUUGCGCGAUUGAAUGAGCCGAUGUCGGAUUAGCUAGUUGGCGGGGUAAAGGCCCACCAAGGCGACGAUCCGUAGCUGGUCUGAGAGGAUGAUCAGCCACACUGGAACUGAGACACGGUCCAGACUCCUACGGGAGGCAGCAGUGGGGAAUAUUGGACAAUGGGCGCAAGCCUGAUCCAGCCAUACCGCGUGGGUGAAGAAGGCCUUCGGGUUGUAAAGCCCUUUUGUUGGGAAAGAAAAGCAGCAGGUUAAUACCCCGCUGUUCUGACGGUACCCAAAGAAUAAGCACCGGCUAACUUCGUG
Molecule: ribosomal RNA, 492 nt
Filed under: uncultured bacterium
Lineage: Bacteria
Description: partial 16S ribosomal RNA
Rfam family: Bacterial small subunit ribosomal RNA
Source: RNAcentral